AGAGAAUAGAUACCCUGGUAGUCCACGCCGUAAACGAUGAUGACUAGCUGUCGGGGCUCAUGGAGUUUCGGUGGCGCAGCUAACGCGUUAAGUCAUCCGCCUGGGGAGUACGGCCGCAAGGUUAAAACUCAAAGAAAUUGACGGGGGCCUGCACAAGCGGUGGAGCAUGUGGUUUAAUUCGAAGCAACGCGCAGAACCUUACCAGCGUUUGACAUGGUAGGACGGUUUCCAGAGAUGGAUUCCUUCCUUACGGGACCUACACACAGGUGCUGCAUGGCUGUCGUCAGCUCGUGUCGUGAGA
RNAcentral lists this ribosomal RNA (301 nucleotides) under uncultured bacterium. RNAcentral's name for it is "bacterial SSU rRNA". It matches the Rfam family "Bacterial small subunit ribosomal RNA", at positions 774 to 1072 of the family's 1533-position model. The record is from RNAcentral.